CCUGCCUGCAUUCCUCACUGGGUCGAUACCUGCGUCAGGUUCUCAGGCUAUAGCAAGCAUCAACAAGUAGCUUGAAUGGUGGAGAAAGGGAAAGGAGCCAGGUACAGUGGGGUGCGGUGUCAGCAGCUCCCGAGGUGGGUCCCUGCACUGUAAAUCACUGCCCCAGCACUGCCCUGACACGUUUCCAGCAGGGACUCUCUCUUGGAGGAGGCACAGACUGUGGUUCUAUUCCAGGUGAUGACUACAGAGCCCACAGAGCAUUUGGCAGCAGGGAGGGGUGUUAAACCAGCCUGUUCUUCUCCAGGUACAUCACCUCCUCCCUCUCCCCUUUGUUCCCUGGCUGUUUCAGUGCUGCACUGCCACUGGGCUGCAGGACUGCAGUGUGAAAUCAGAGCAGUGCAGUGGGGGAGGCCUGAUGGAUGAAAGCCCCACAUCCUUACUGCCCUGUGCACACUUUCUGUUCCUAGGUUGCUCUCCAGUGUGUCUUUAUUUUUGCCUGUUCAAAUUUAGGCCAGCAUUGAUGCCACAAACACGGCUGUGGAGAACUGUGGCUACCAUUGCUGCACAGCACAAACUGUGGCUAGAAACCCAACACCAUACCCCUCUGGCUGGAGAGCUGUUGCCAUCCCAUCACCUUACCUCUGCCUCUAUUAGAUGGUCACUCGUGAUGGUGAAGGUGGGUCCCUCAUACAGGCAGGAGCUGCUGCGGAGUACUGGAAGUAACCUUUUUGUUGCUACUGGAAUACAUCCUGUCGUUUGGGAUGAUUUUGGUCAGAGGUUUCCAAUAGUGCUGAUACCCUGCGGCAUUGGUCAGGCCCGUGACAGCCCAUUCAGCAGAAUCCCAAUUUUAGCCUUUCCAUUUCUGGCUCACCCUGAUGUGCCUGAUGUCCAAGCCAAGAUGCUAUUUCUUGCAAGGAAAUUAUCUUUGUUAAUUUUAGAUCUCAUUCCCCAAAGUGCUGCAUAACUACAGCUAUUCCAGGUAGUCAUGGGCAGCGGGAGGUAUUUGAUCGUUGAGGGAUAUGGCUCUUUCUUGCAGUAAGAUGACCACAUCUGAUGGAUUACAUUUCCUUUGUCCAGUGCAGGGCUUUAAGGCUCAGCAGGAAGCCAGCCCCAUGCUGUGUGGGUAUCAGCCAUCACUGCAGACUCGGAGCCAGAUCACCAGCUGCGAUACCUGGGAAGAGAAAAGCUCCUUCUCUUCAAGGUGAGCCUCCGGAGCAGAGCAGCAUAGUCAGAGAAGAGGCACGACGAUGGAACCAGGAGAGCAGCAUUCAGCCCGGCACCAGCCUUUUCUCCUGCUUAAUUCUUCCUUUGCUUCUGGGAAACUUCUGUUGGCGCGCUCAUUCACACACCAAACAGGGCAUCCUAGUGACAGUCAGGACCUGAACACUUCGCUGACAGUGUCAAGGUUUUAAGACUAAAGACAACAAAUAAUACUGUAAGUGGAGGCAGAUUUUAUUUGGACUGUACAAACAGGGCACUGGGGGGAAAAGAACCCCAAACAAAACAAAAAAAAACCCAAAACCCAAACA
Pezoporus occidentalis (night parrot) is the source of this 1529-nucleotide long non-coding RNA. RefSeq lists it as uncharacterized. The transcript is spliced from 2 exons. NCBI's taxonomy places the organism in Eukaryota, Metazoa, Chordata, Aves, Psittaciformes, Psittacidae. The record is from RefSeq and is a predicted model, not a curated record.